AGCGAACGCUGGCGGCAGGCCUAACACAUGCAAGUCGAACGAACUCUUCGGAGUUAGUGGCGGACGGGUGAGUAACACGUGGGAACGUGCCUUUUGGUUCGGAAUAACUCAGGGAAACUUGUGCUAAUACCGAAUGUGCCCUUCGGGGGAAAGAUUUAUCGCCAUUAGAGCGGCCCGCGUCUGAUUAGCUAGUUGGUGAGGUAACGGCUCACCAAGGCGACGAUCAGUAGCUGGUCUGAGAGGAUGACCAGCCACACUGGGACUGAGACACGGCCCAGACUCCGACGGGAGGCAGCAGGGGGGAAUCUUGCGAAAGGGGGGAAGGCUUGACGCAGCCAUCCCGGGUGAAGAAGGAGGUUCUAAGGAUUGAAAAAUUCUUUCCCGGGGGAGGAAAAGGACGGUCCCGGGAAAAAAAGCCCCGCCAACCUUGGUG
Molecule: ribosomal RNA, 433 nt
Filed under: uncultured bacterium
Lineage: Bacteria
Description: partial 16S ribosomal RNA
Rfam family: Bacterial small subunit ribosomal RNA
Source: RNAcentral